RNAcentral lists this ribosomal RNA (451 nucleotides) under uncultured bacterium. Its description in RNAcentral is "bacterial SSU rRNA". It matches the Rfam family "Bacterial small subunit ribosomal RNA", at positions 329 to 795 of the family's 1533-position model. The record is from RNAcentral.
UGCCAGACUCCUACGGGAGGCAGCAGUGGGGGAUAUUGCACAAUGGGGGAAACCCUGAUGCAGCGACGCCGCGUGGGCGAAGAAGUAUUUCGGUAUGUAAAGCCCUAUCAGCAGGGAAGAAGAAAUGACGGUACCUGAGUAAGAAGCACCGGCUAAAUACGUGCCAGCAGCCGCGGUAAUACGUAUGGUGCAAGCGUUAUCCGGAUUUACUGGGUGUAAAGGGAGCGUAGACGGCGAGGUAAGCCUGAAGUGGAAGCCCGCGGCCCAACCGCGGAACUGCUUUGGGAACUGUUUUGCUGGAGUAUGGGAGGGGUAAGCGGAAUUCCUGGUGUAGCGGUGAAAUGCGUAGAUAUCAGGAGGAACACCGGUGGCGAAGGCGGCUUACUGGACCAUAACUGACGUUGAGGCUCGAAAGCGUGGGGAGCGAACAGGGUUAGAUACCCCCGUAGAU